CCUGCGGAGGGAUCAUUACCGAGUUUACAACUCCCAAACCCCUGUGAACAUACCAAUUGUUGCCUCGGCGGAUCAGCCCGCUCCCGGUAAAACGGGACGGCCCGCCAGAGGACCCCUAAACUCUGUUUCUAUAUGUAACUUCUGAGUAAAACCAUAAAUAAAUCAAAACUUUCAACAACGGAUCUCUUGGUUCUGGCAUCGAUGAAGAACGCAGCAAAAUGCGAUAAGUAAUGUGAAUUGCAGAAUUCAGUGAAUCAUCGAAUCUUUGAACGCACAUUGCGCCCGCCAGUAUUCUGGCGGGCAUGCCUGUUCGAGCGUCAUUUCAACCCUCAAGCCCAGCUUGGUGUUGGGACUCGCGAGUCAAAUCGCGUUCCCCAAAUUGAUUGGCGGUCACGUCGAGCUUCCAUAGCGUAGUAGUAAAACCCUCGUUACUGGUAAUCGUCGCGGCCACGCCGUUAAACCCCAACUUCUGAAUGU
This 477-nucleotide small RNA is filed under the name Fusarium verticillioides. RNAcentral describes it as "eukaryotic LSU rRNA". The stretch from base 167 to 320 matches the Rfam family "5.8S ribosomal RNA". Lineage: Eukaryota; Fungi; Ascomycota; Sordariomycetes; Hypocreales; Nectriaceae. The record is from RNAcentral.